RNAcentral lists this ribosomal RNA (492 nucleotides) under uncultured bacterium. RNAcentral's name for it is "partial 16S ribosomal RNA". It matches the Rfam family "Bacterial small subunit ribosomal RNA", at positions 29 to 507 of the family's 1533-position model. The record is from RNAcentral.
AGUGAACGCUGGCGAUAGGCCUAACACAUGCAAGUCGAACGGCAGCACAGUAAGAGCUUGCUCUUACGGGUGGCGAGUGGCGGACGGGUGAGGAAUACAUCGGAAUCUACUUUUUCGUGGGGGAUAACGUAGGGAAACUUACGCUAAUACCGCAUACGACCUACGGGUGAAAGCAGGGGAUCUUCGGACCUUGCGCGAUUGAAUGAGCCGAUGUCGGAUUAGCUAGUUGGCGGGGUAAAGGCCCACCAAGGCGACGAUCCGUAGCUGGUCUGAGAGGAUGAUCAGCCACACUGGAACUGAGACACGGUCCAGACUCCUACGGGAGGCAGCAGUGGGGAAUAUUGGACAAUGGGCGCAAGCCUGAUCCAGCCAUACCGCGUGGGUGAAGAAGGCCUUUGGGUUGUAAAGCCCUUUUGUUGGGAAAGAAAAGCAGCAGGUUAAUACCCCGCUGUUCUGACGGUACCCAAAGAAUAAGCACCGGCUAACUUCGUG